This 302-nucleotide ribosomal RNA is filed under the name uncultured Planctomycetales bacterium. Its description in RNAcentral is "bacterial SSU rRNA". It matches the Rfam family "Bacterial small subunit ribosomal RNA", at positions 457 to 757 of the family's 1533-position model. Lineage: Bacteria; Pseudomonadati; Planctomycetota; Planctomycetia; Planctomycetales. The record is from RNAcentral.
UAUCGCAUUUAUUUGACGAAGGCUCCAAAGGAAGCCACGGCUAACUCUGUGCCAGCAGCCGCGGUAAUACAGAGGUGGCAAGCGUUGUUCGGAAUUAUUGGGCGUAAAGAGCACGUAGGUGGGCUUGAAAGUCAGAUGUGAAAGCCUUCUGUUCAACGGAAGAAUUGCAUCUGAAACUGUAAGUCUUGAGUGUAGGAGGGGAGAAUGGAACUUCUGGUGGAGCGGUGAAAUGCGUAGAUAUCAGAAGGAACGCCGGCGGCGAAAGCGAUUCUCUGGCCUAUUACUGACACUCAGUGUGCGAA